UACGUAGGGGGCAAGCGUUGUCCGGAAUCAUUGGGCGUAAAGCGCGUGUAGGCGGCCAGACAAGACCGCUGUGAAAACUCGAGGCUCAACUUCGAGCUGUCGGUGGAAACUUUCUGGCUAGAGUCCGGAAGAGGAGAAUGGAAUUCCUGGUGUAGCGGUGAAAUGCGCAGAUAUCAGGAAGAACACCCGUGGCGAAGGCGGUUCUCUGGGACGGUACUGACGCUGAGACGCGAAAGCGUGGGGAGCGAACAGG
Molecule: ribosomal RNA, 253 nt
Filed under: uncultured bacterium
Lineage: Bacteria
Description: partial 16S ribosomal RNA
Rfam family: Bacterial small subunit ribosomal RNA
Source: RNAcentral